GCAAACUGCGAAUACCGGAGAAUGUUAUCACGGGAGACACACGGCGGGUGCUAACGUCCGUCGUGAAGAGGGAAACAACCCAGACCGCCAGCUAAGGUCCCAAAGUCAUGGUUAAGUGGGAAACGAUGUGGGAAGGCCCAGACAGCCAGGAUGUUGGCUUAGAAGCAGCCAUCAUUUAAAGAAAGCGUAAUAGCUCACUGGUCGAGUCGGCCUGCGCGGAAGAUGUAACGGGGCUAAACCAUGCACCGAAGCUGCGGCAGCGACACUAUGUGUUGUUGGGUAGGGGAGCGUUCUGUAAGCCUGUGAAGGUGGCCUGUGAGGGUUGCUGGAGGUAUCAGAAGUGCGAAUGCUGACAUAAGUAACGAUAAAGCGGGUGAAAAGCCCGCUCGCCGGAAGACCAAGGGUUCCUGUCCAACGUUAAUCGGGGCAGGGUGAGUCGACCCCUAAGGCGAGGCCGAAAGGCGUAGUCGAUGGGAAACAGGUUAAUAUUCCUGUACUUGGUGUUACUGCGAAGGGGGGACGGAGAAGGCUAUGUUGGCCGGGCGACGGUUGUCCCGGUUUAAGCGUGUAGGCUGGUUUUCCAGGCAAAUCCGGAAAACCAAGGCUGAGGCGUGAUGACGAGGCACUACGGUGCUGAAGCGACAAAUGCCCUGCUUCCAGGAAAAGCCUCUAAGCAUCAGGUAACAUCAAAUCGUACCCCAAACCGACACAGGUGGUCAGGUAGAGAAUACCAAGGCGCUUGAGAGAACUCGGGUGAAGGAACUAGGCAAAAUGGUGCCGUAACUUCGGGAGAAGGCACGCUGAUAUGUAGGUGAAGCGACUUGCUCGUGGAGCUGAAAUCAGUCGAAGAUACCAGCUGGCUGCAACUGUUUAUUAAAAACACAGCACUGUGCAAACACGAAAGUGGACGUAUACGGUGUGACGCCUGCCCGGUGCCGGAAGGUUAAUUGAUGGGGUUAGCGGUAACGCGAAGCUCUUGAUCGAAGCCCCGGUAAACGGCGGCCGUAACUAUAACGGUCCUAAGGUAGCGAAAUUCCUUGUCGGGUAAGUUCCGACCUGCACGAAUGGCGUAAUGAUGGCCAGGCUGUCUCCACCCGAGACUCAGUGAAAUUGAACUCGCUGUGAAGAUGCAGUGUACCCGCGGCAAGACGGAAAGACCCCGUGAACCUUUACUAUAGCUUGACACUGAACAUUGAGCCUUGAUGUGUAGGAUAGGUGGGAGGCUUUGAAGUGUGGACGCCAGUCUGCAUGGAGCCGACCUUGAAAUACCACCCUUUAAUGUUUGAUGUUCUAACGUUGGCCCGUAAUCCGGGUUGCGGACAGUGUCUGGUGGGUAGUUUGACUGGGGCGGUCUCCUCCUAAAGAGUAACGGAGGAGCACGAAGGUUGGCUAAUCCUGGUCGGACAUCAGGAGGUUAGUGCAAUGGCAUAAGCCAGCUUGACUGCGAGCGUGACGGCGCGAGCAGGUGCGAAAGCAGGUCAUAGUGAUCCGGUGGUUCUGAAUGGAAGGGCCAUCGCUCAACGGAUAAAAGGUACUCCGGGGAUAACAGGCUGAUACCGCCCAAGAGUUCAUAUCGACGGCGGUGUUUGGCACCUCGAUGUCGGCUCAUCACAUCCUGGGGCUGAAGUAGGUCCCAAGGGUAUGGCUGUUCGCCAUUUAAAGUGGUACGCGAGCUGGGUUUAGAACGUCGUGAGACAGUUCGGUCCCUAUCUGCCGUGGGCGCUGGAGAACUGAGGGGGGCUGCUCCUAGUACGAGAGGACCGGAGUGGACGCAUCACUGGUGUUCGGGUUGUCAUGCCAAUGGCACUGCCCGGUAGCUAAAUGCGGAAGAGAUAAGUGCUGAAAGCAUCUAAGCACGAAACUUGC
This 1866-nucleotide ribosomal RNA is filed under the name Escherichia coli. RNAcentral's name for it is "partial 23S ribosomal RNA". It matches the Rfam family "Bacterial large subunit ribosomal RNA", at positions 949 to 2797 of the family's 2925-position model. Lineage: Bacteria; Pseudomonadati; Pseudomonadota; Gammaproteobacteria; Enterobacterales; Enterobacteriaceae. The record is from RNAcentral.